RNAcentral lists this unclassified non-coding RNA (242 nucleotides) under plant metagenome. Its description in RNAcentral is "partial contains small subunit ribosomal RNA and internal transcribed spacer 1". The stretch from base 1 to 46 matches the Rfam family "Eukaryotic small subunit ribosomal RNA", at positions 1786 to 1831 of the family's 1831-position model. The record is from RNAcentral.
AAGUCGUAACAAGGUUUCCGUAGGUGAACCUGCGGAAGGAUCAUUACCGAGAUAGGGUCCCCUCGGGGGCCCGACCUCCAACCCUUUGUCUAUUUAUCUUUGUUGCCUCGGCGGGACGUCGGGAGCCCUGUAAAAAGGGCCCUCGCCAUCGGCUCUCACGGGCCCUUGCGCGCCCGCCGGCGGAAUACACAUAAACCCUUUUAUUAACAAGUCUUCUGAGUUAUUAUUAUAAUACUUCAAAA